Long non-coding RNA from Eriocheir sinensis (Chinese mitten crab), 439 nucleotides. RefSeq lists it as uncharacterized. NCBI's taxonomy places the organism in Eukaryota, Metazoa, Arthropoda, Malacostraca, Decapoda, Varunidae. The record is from RefSeq and is a predicted model, not a curated record. The transcript is spliced from 3 exons.
CAGCUGGCCACCUCUCCGGGCCCUUAGUCGUGGGGGGCAUCUUGGCGGAGGGUACUUUAGGGUUCAUGGAGCUCCUGGCUCAAAUUACAAGCAAAAGUACUUGAAGGGCGGGAACUUCAGGCUGCUGAGUACCCCCUUGGCCGAGGGAGGGGACCAGGCCUUCCUCACACCUACUUUACUCAGGUCAACCACAAGAGUCUGGACUUCCAGAUCAAGUACGGGUCCAGCCUGCAGCACCUCCACGGGGUAGUGAGCCAGCUGGAGGCCCACCUGGAGCAGUCUGGCAGCCUCAGCACCCUGCUGGCCCUCGUGGAGCAGUUCACCUACAGGCUGGGCCAGCUGGCGCCAGGGCAGGCCGAGGAGGCGCACCUACCGGCGCUGGAGUCAGACACAGACACACUGACCGGCAAGCAGCAGUUGAUCUCAAAAACCUUGGGUA